This 460-nucleotide ribosomal RNA is filed under the name Zyzygomyces bachmannii. RNAcentral describes it as "LSU rRNA". It matches the Rfam family "Eukaryotic large subunit ribosomal RNA", at positions 1 to 455 of the family's 3401-position model. The record is from RNAcentral. Lineage: Eukaryota; Fungi; Basidiomycota; Tremellomycetes; Filobasidiales; Filobasidiaceae.
GGCCUCAAAUCAGGUAGGACUACCCGCUGAACUUAAGCAUAUCAAUAAGCGGAGGAAAAGAAACUAACAAGGAUUCCCCUAGUAACGGCGAGUGAAGCGGGAAGAGCUCAAAUUUGAAAUCUGGUGGACUUUGUUCAUCCGAGUUGUAAUCUAGAGAAGUGUUUUCCGUGCCGGCCAAUGUACAAGUCCCUUGGAACAGGGCGUCGUAGAGGGUGAGAAUCCCGUACUCGACAUUGAUCACCGGUGCUCUGUGAUACAUUUUCAAAGAGUCGAGUUGUUUGGGAAUGCAGCUCAAAAUGGGUGGUAAAUUCCAUCUAAAGCUAAAUAUUGGCGAGAGACCGAUAGCGAACAAGUACCGUGAGGGAAAGAUGAAAAGCACUUUGGAAAGAGAGUUAAACAGUAUGUGAAAUUGUUAAAAGGGAAACGAUUGAAGUCAGUCGUGUCUUCUGGACUCAGCCGG